Molecule: ribosomal RNA, 792 nt
Filed under: uncultured bacterium
Lineage: Bacteria
Description: bacterial SSU rRNA
Rfam family: Bacterial small subunit ribosomal RNA
Source: RNAcentral
AGUUUGAUCCUGGCUCAGGACGAACUUUGGCGGCGUGCCUAACACAUGCAAGUCGAACGGACGAGGAGGAGCUUGCUUCUCCAAGUCAGUGGCGGACGGGUGAGUAACGCGUGAGUAACCUGCCCUUCAGAGGGGGAUAACGUCUGGAAACGGACGCUAAUACCGCAUGACAUAUUUCCAUCGCAUGGUGGAGAUAUCAAAGGAGCAAUCCGCUGAAGGAUGGACUCGCGUCCGAUUAGAUAGUUGGCGGGGUAACGGCCCACCAAGUCGACGAUCGGUAGCCGGACUGAGAGGUUGAACGGCCACAUUGGGACUGAGACACGGCCCAGACUCCUACGGGAGGCAGCAGUGGGGGAUAUUGCACAAUGGGCGAAAGCCUGAUGCAGCAACGCCGCGUGAGGGAAGACGGUUUUCGGAUUGUAAACCUCUGUUCUAAGUGACGAACAAAUGACGGUAGCUUAGGAGAAAGCCCCGGCUAACUACGUGCCAGCAGCCGCGGUAAUACGUAGGGGGCAAGCGUUGUCCGGAAUUACUGGGUGUAAAGGGAGCGCAGGCGGAGAAGCAAGUCAGUGGUGAAAACGAUGGGCUUAACUCAUCGACUGCCAUUGAAACUGUUUCCCUUGAGUGAAGUAGAGGCAGGCGGAAUUCCGAGUGUAGCGGUGAAAUGCGUAGAUAUUCGGAGGAACACCAGUGGCGAAGGCGGCCUGCUGGGCUUUAACUGACGCUGAGGCUCGAAAGUGUGGGGAGCAAACAGGAUUAGAUACCCUGGUAGUCCACACUGUAAACGAUGAU